Molecule: ribosomal RNA, 1054 nt
Filed under: Trichoderma sp. 3 PC-2011
Lineage: Eukaryota; Fungi; Ascomycota; Sordariomycetes; Hypocreales; Hypocreaceae
Description: SSU rRNA
Rfam family: Eukaryotic small subunit ribosomal RNA
Source: RNAcentral
AGCGUCUAGUUAGCAAUUAUACCGCGAAACUGCGAAUGGCUCAUUAUAUAAGUUAUCGUUUAUUUGAUAAUACUUUACUACUUGGAUAACCGUGGUAAUUCUAGAGCUAAUACAUGCUGAAAAUCCCGACUUCGGAAGGGAUGUAUUUAUUAGAUUAAAAACCAAUGCCCCUCGGGGCUCUCUGGUGAAUCAUGAUAACUAGUCGAAUCGACAGGCCUUGUGCCGGCGAUGGCUCAUUCAAAUUUCUUCCCUAUCAACUUUCGAUGUUUGGGUAUUGGCCAAACAUGGUGGCAACGGGUAACGGAGGGUUAGGGCUCGACCCCGGAGAAGGAGCCUGAGAAACGGCUACUACAUCCAAGGAAGGCAGCAGGCGCGCAAAUUACCCAAUCCCGACACGGGGAGGUAGUGACAAUAAAUACUGAUACAGGGCUCUUUUGGGUCUUGUAAUCGGAAUGAGUACAAUUUAAAUCCCUUAACGAGGAACAAUUGGAGGGCAAGUCUGGUGCCAGCAGCCGCGGUAAUUCCAGCUCCAAUAGCGUAUAUUAAAGUUGUUGUGGUUAAAAAGCUCGUAGUUGAACCUUGGGCCUGGCUGGCCGGUCCGCCUCACCGCGUGCACUGGUCCGGCCGGGCCUUUCCCUCUGCGGAACCCCAUGCCCUUCACUGGGUGUGGCGGGGAAACAGGACUUUUACUUUGAAAAAAUUAGAGUGCUCAAGGCAGGCCUAUGCUCGAAUACAUUAGCAUGGAAUAAUAGAAUAGGACGUGUGGUUCUAUUUUGUUGGUUUCUAGGACCGCCGUAAUGAUUAAUAGGGACAGUCGGGGGCAUCAGUAUUCAAUUGUCAGAGGUGAAAUUCUUGGAUUUAUUGAAGACUAACUACUGCGAAAGCAUUUGCCAAGGAUGUUUUCAUUAAUCAGGAACGAAAGUUAGGGGAUCGAAGACGAUCAGAUACCGUCGUAGUCUUAACCAUAAACUAUGCCGACUAGGGAUCGGACGAUGUUACAUUUUUGACGCGUUCGGCACCUUACGAGAAAUCAAAGUGCUGGCUCCAGGGGAGA